UGGGGAAUAUUGGACAAUGGGCGAAAGCCUGAUCCAGCCAUGCCGCGUGUGUGAAGAAGGUCUUCGGAUUGUAAAGCACUUUAAGUUGGGAGGAAGGGCAUUAACCUAAUACGUUAGUGUUUUGACGUUACCGACAGAAUAAGCACCGGCUAACUCUGUGCCAGCAGCCGCGGUAAUACAGAGGGUGCAAGCGUUAAUCGGAAUUACUGGGCGUAAAGCGCGCGUAGGUGGUUUGUUAAGUUGGAUGUGAAAUCCCCGGGCUCAACCUGGGAACUGCAUUCAAAACUGACUGACUAGAGUAUGGUAGAGGGUGGUGGAAUUUCCUGUGUAGCGGUGAAAUGCGUAGAUAUAGGA
RNAcentral lists this ribosomal RNA (354 nucleotides) under uncultured bacterium. RNAcentral's name for it is "partial 16S ribosomal RNA". It matches the Rfam family "Bacterial small subunit ribosomal RNA", at positions 355 to 701 of the family's 1533-position model. The record is from RNAcentral.